Molecule: ribosomal RNA, 401 nt
Filed under: Salmonella enterica subsp. enterica serovar Typhimurium
Lineage: Bacteria; Pseudomonadati; Pseudomonadota; Gammaproteobacteria; Enterobacterales; Enterobacteriaceae
Description: partial 23S ribosomal RNA
Rfam family: Bacterial large subunit ribosomal RNA
Source: RNAcentral
CGAAAGCUAUUUAGGUAGCGCCUCGGACGAACACCAUUGGGGGUAGAGCACUGUUUCGGCUAGGGGGUCAUCCCGACUUACCAAACCGAUGCAAACUCCGAAUACCGAUGAGUGAUAUCCGGGAGACAGACGGCGGGUGCUAACGUCCGUCGUCAAGAGGGAAACAACCCAGACCGCCAGCUAAGGCCCCAAAUUCCUAGUUAAGUGGGAAACGAUGUGGGAAGGCACAGACAGCUAGGAGGUUGGCUUAGAAGCAGCCAUCCUUUAAAGAAAGCGUAAUAGCUCACUAGUCGAGUCGGCCUGCGCGGAAGAUGUAACGGGGCUCAAACUAGGAGCCGAAGCUGCGGAUUUAAUUGUUUCAAUUAAGUGGUAGGGGAGCAUUGUGUAAGCCUGUGAAGGUG